This 462-nucleotide ribosomal RNA is filed under the name uncultured bacterium. RNAcentral's name for it is "SSU rRNA". It matches the Rfam family "Bacterial small subunit ribosomal RNA", at positions 26 to 518 of the family's 1533-position model. The record is from RNAcentral.
AGGAUGAACGCUGGCGGUCUGCUUAACACAUGCAAGUCGAACGGGCGUAGCAAUACGUUAGUGGCGGACGGGUGAGUAACGCGUGAGAAUCUACCUUCAGGACGGAGACAACAGUUGGAAACGACUGCUAACCCCCGAUGUACUGAAAAGGCAAAUAUUUAUAGCCUGAAGAAGAGCUCGCGUCCGAUUAGCUAGUUGGAGAGGUAAAAGCUCACCAAGGCGACGAUCGGUAGCUGGUCUGAGAGGACGAUCAGCCACACUGGGACUGAGACACGGCCCAGACUCCUACGGGAGGCAGCAGUGGGGAAUUUUCCGCAAUGGGCGAAAAGCCUGACGGAGCAAGACCGCGUGGGGGAAGAAGGCUCUUGGGUUGUAAACCCCUUUUCUCUGGGAAGAAAGUUGUGAAAGCAGCCUGACGGUACCAGAGGAAUCAGCAUCGGCUAACUCCGUGCCAGCAGCCGC